Molecule: ribosomal RNA, 253 nt
Filed under: uncultured bacterium
Lineage: Bacteria
Description: partial 16S ribosomal RNA
Rfam family: Bacterial small subunit ribosomal RNA
Source: RNAcentral
UACGUAGGCAGCGAGCGUUGUUCGGAAUUACUGGGCGUAAAGAGUGUGUAGGCGGUGCUCCAAGUCUGGGGUGAAAUCUCCCGGCUCAACUGGGAGGGUGCGCCGGAAACUGGAAUGCUAGAGGGUGGGAGAGGUAAGCGGAAUUCCUGGUGUAGCGGUGAAAUGCGUAGAUAUCAGGAGGAACACCUGUGGUGUAGACAGCUUACUGGACCACUUCUGACGCUGAGACACGAAAGCGUGGGUAGCAAACAGG